GUGGCGAGUGGCGAACGGGUGAGUAAUAUAUCGGAACGUACCGAGUAAUGGGGGAUAACUAAUCGAAAGAUUAGCUAAUACCGCAUAUUCUCUGAGGAGGAAAGCAGGGGACCUUCGGGCCUUGCGUUAUCGAGCGGCCGAUAUCUGAUUAGCUAGUUGGUGGGGUAAAGGCCUACCAAGGCGACGAUCAGUAGCGGGUCUGAGAGGAUGAUCCGCCACACUGGGACUGAGACACGGCCCAG
This 242-nucleotide ribosomal RNA is filed under the name uncultured bacterium. RNAcentral's name for it is "partial 16S ribosomal RNA". It matches the Rfam family "Bacterial small subunit ribosomal RNA", at positions 88 to 334 of the family's 1533-position model. The record is from RNAcentral.